CUCCGCCUACGGGAGGCAGCAGUAGGGAAUCUUCCACAAUGGACGAAAGUCUGAUGGAGCAACGCCGCGUGAGUGAAGAAGGGUUUCGGCUCGUAAAGCUCUGUUGGUAGUGAAGAAAGAUAGAGGUAGUAACUGGCCUUUAUUUGACGGUAAUUACUUAGAAAGUCACGGCUAACUACGUGCCAGCAGCCGCGGUAAUACGUAGGUGGCAAGCGUUUUCCGGAUUUAUUGGGCGUAAAGCGAGUGCAGGCGGUUCAAUAAGUCUUGU
This 268-nucleotide ribosomal RNA is filed under the name uncultured bacterium. RNAcentral describes it as "partial 16S ribosomal RNA". It matches the Rfam family "Bacterial small subunit ribosomal RNA", at positions 333 to 593 of the family's 1533-position model. The record is from RNAcentral.